UCAGUGUGUCGCUGCUGCUCGGCUUCUGCAGUCUGCUGCGGUCUCUCCUCUAGUAAUGGCUUUUAUAUGUAUUAUCUGAGUGUUAAAUUCAUAUUUUGAGUGAGUUUGUGUUGUGGGAUGAUGAUUGAGAACGAAUAAACGCGAAUAUGGACACUUCUACCAGCAGCUAACAGACAAGCAAACUGCAAAAGAGAGGACCUGAAAGCAUGAUCCUUGGACUCCUUGGAGAAGAAUACUGUAUGCAAAACAGGAUUUUGGAUCAGCUGUGAAGAUUUUGUAUGGAGCUGUUUUGGAAAUGAAAAUCUUCUACCAUAUGAUCUUCAGAGGAACUAAUCCAGCCGAUUGCUGGCAAUUUGGAGGAGGACUGCUCUUUAUCUGCUGUGUCUGUCACGUCUGGCCAUGCAGGGCUCGCAAAAUUUCAAAAUCCCUGGUAGCCCUUCGGGCAGGUACUCUUCAGAUUUUGGUAGCCCGAAUUAAAAUAUUACUAUUUUAUUUUAUUAUUAUUAUUAUUAUUUUUAAUAUAGAAAAUCAGAUAGGAGUUUAAACGUCAAUCAAAAAUAUUUUCAAUACACAAAUAUCAACAAAUAUGAAGGAAGGAAUUUUAUUUCACUAUUUACAGGGUAUCUGCAGAAUUUUUAAAAAUAUAUUUAAGGCAAUUUAUGACCCAUUUUAAGAGCUGCACAAGUAAAAUGAACACAGUAUGAGCGGGGUUGGACAAUGUCUAUGGUAACAUACAGUUUUGAGUCAUAAAAUUACAUGAUUUACAGUUCAGAUACAGGUUUUCACAAAAACAAAAAUCUUAUACAACAGCGUUUCAGGCUAUAGGCCGUUUUUAUGAAAAGGGAUCAAUCAAGCAUAUAAAUUAUGUUAAUUUAAAACGUAUAAAUCUUAAUUGUCUUAAUUGUUUAGAUUUUUAGAAGGCACAUCAACUUCUUUCUCAUUUACAACUCUGUGUUUGCUGCGUAAAAACAUGAGUUGAUAUUUGCAUUGAUCUGACCAUAAACAGUAGGAAAGGCUAUUUGGAAAUGCAGAUUCACUCUCUGCCACGAGGUGGCGCUUUAGGAGCGCUGAAAUAUUGCGGUUUCCCCGGAAACGCUGUACACAAAGCAGCUCCGCGCUCAUAAACGCUUCUUUAUCAGGAAUUAUAGUUAAAAUGCCAACGACACAUUUCUGAGGACAGUCGGUUACCUUCAGAUACAUUCACAUAAAGACAUCCGCGCCGCGUUUUGACUUGAAACGUGCAGCGCUCAUAUUUAUUCAAUGACAUCCUUGCCUUUUGAAGUUUAAUCCUGCCAUAUCGCGCGACUCUUGUCUUUCCGUUCCCAACUGUAAGACCUCUUGAAAUUAAAAUUAAGACAUUUCUUUUACCAUUUAACGUAUUUAAAACUUUUUAUGGCCUUAAUUUUGAUACAACUCAUUUUAAGAGUUUUUAAGGACCCGCGGGAGAUCUGUAUUUAAGGAGCCCGUCGGGCAGGCAGUGAUACAUUUUGGUAGCCCGACUGGAAAACACAAUAGCCCCGGGACGUCGGGCUAGCGAUUUUGCGAGCCCUGCCAUGGACCUUUUGUUGUAUGUUUUGGUUUUACUUAUUACACUAAUAUAGCUAUUAGUUUUUAACUAACAUAUGUAGAAUUAAAAUACAUAUGUUUGUCUACAUAUAUUAGAGCUACAGUGGUGCCCAAAAUUAUUAGAA
Long non-coding RNA from Onychostoma macrolepis, 1691 nucleotides. RefSeq lists it as uncharacterized. The record is from RefSeq and is a predicted model, not a curated record. Lineage: Eukaryota; Metazoa; Chordata; Actinopteri; Cypriniformes; Cyprinidae. The transcript has 4 exons.